Non-coding RNA from Bombyx mori (domestic silkworm), 84 nucleotides. The record is from Rfam. NCBI's taxonomy places the organism in Eukaryota, Metazoa, Arthropoda, Insecta, Lepidoptera, Bombycidae.
UUAAGUCAAAUUUGUAUGGAUUAGGAACCUUUGCUUAUGUUUGCCGCUAGGGGCACCGUUCCAACUGCAUACAAAUUUGAGUUA